Molecule: long non-coding RNA, 1514 nt
Filed under: Monodelphis domestica (gray short-tailed opossum)
Lineage: Eukaryota; Metazoa; Chordata; Mammalia; Didelphimorphia; Didelphidae
Description: lncRNA (ENSMODG00000033566.2)
Source: RNAcentral
GAUUCCACAAAUCCAUCUGUGUACACUCCCUCGUGCCUUGUCCAUAGAAGAGGCAUAACAGUAAUAGUUAUUACAGCUAGCAUUUAUAUAGGGCUCUAAAGUUUGCAAAGUAUCUCAAUUGAUCUUCACCUCAAUCCCAGGAGAUACUAGAUACUAUUAUUGUGCCCAUUUUAUAGUUAAGGAAACUGAAGUAAGCAAAGAUUAAGUGCCUUCCUUCUUCCAGAUCUUGUAGCGACUCUCUGAGGCUGGAUUUGAACUCAGCCUUCCCGAGUCUAGCCAGAAAGCUUUCUAUCCGCUGUACUAUGUAGCUGCUUAUUAAUGCUGUAAUUCAUGAAUGCUUCUGAACUGACUGAUGAUUAAUUGAUAUGAGUUCAUAGAUCCCCACUAGGUAAUGAGGACAACCUAACCUAGUUUAUGUGCAAAGAGCCCCAGGAGUACCUGAGUGAAGAGAAGAUGAGAAUUAGGACAUUCACAAACAGAGGCAAAGCGAAGCCACCCAAGGGGACAGCCGUGGAGAAAGUGGAUCUUUCUCCAUGUCCUGGCCACGUCCAUGAAUCACUGUGGUAGGUAAGGCAGAAGGAAGACUAUAUUUGGCAUCCGAAUACAAGAGUUCAAUGACUGACUCUGACAUCUGCUCUUUGAGUGAUCACGAACAUGAAGUCACAGAGGCACAAAGGAGGAUGACAUGGCUGGGAAUGGGGAGAGAGGCAUGAUGGAGGGAUUCCCUAGACCCGGGCAGCAGAGGUGAGACCUCUCAGGAGUGGCCCAAUGGUCCUGCCCAGGCUUCAGGUUGAGCAGAUGGCAGAAGUUCUGGGAGGUCAAUGCUUGGCAUCAUUGCAGUGUCUCAUUUCAUCUCAACAUCAACCCUGAACCAACAAGCAGUCAGCCUUCUUCAAGCCCACCCCUAGCAGAGGAAAACAAUGAACGAUGCUGCCAGGGACAGAUGGGCUACAGCAGUUCAGCAAAGGAAAGAACCGGGAGAAUUUGGGUACCAGAAGCAUUGGCAUCAAGAAAUAAAAAGAACAUAUUCUGCUAGUCAUCUGAAACUAAAAGGGGAAAUUGAAGAAAGAACGUGUCAUUUGUUGGAAUUUCCUCCAAUCCUGGAACAGGUCACAGAUCUAGAAUGGCCUGAGAAGGGCUCCUGGUCCUAAAAGAUGUGGUACACAGUAAAUAAGGAGCAGUCUCAAACAUUAGGCUCAGGCCUGAAGAAGGAUUAAGUUCAAAAGUCAGCAGUUCUGUGGCUCUGACACUACAAAUGAAUUUGAGUCUCAGUUUCAGCCUCCAGCUCAAUUUGAAACCUGCAUUGGAAUAACCAAAGCAGACAUCUUAGAACAAAGGUAAGACAGCACUUUUGUCAUUUUAAACCAGCAGAGCUUUCCAGUUUGUUAAUGGUGGCUGAAUCUAGCAGCAGUCUUCAGGAACUCCAACCAGGGGCAAGCCCAUAAAAGUAUUGCUCUCAAAACCAAACCCAAAUCAGGAACUCUCAGAACUCAAGUCAGGAACAAUGAUUAUAU